RNAcentral lists this ribosomal RNA (468 nucleotides) under uncultured bacterium. Its description in RNAcentral is "partial 16S ribosomal RNA". It matches the Rfam family "Bacterial small subunit ribosomal RNA", at positions 28 to 507 of the family's 1533-position model. The record is from RNAcentral.
GACGAACGCUGGCGGCGUGCUUAACACAUGCAAGUCGAACGGAAAGGCCCUGCUUUUGUGGGGUGCUCGAGUGGCGAACGGGUGAGUAACACGUGAGUAACCUGCCCUUGACUUUGGGAUAACUUCAGGAAACUGGGGCUAAUACCGGAUAGGAGCUCCUGCUGCAUGGUGGGGGUUGGAAAGUUUCGGCGGUUGGGGAUGGACUCGCGGCUUAUCAGCUCGUUGGUGGGGUAGUGGCUUACCAAGGCUUUGACGGGUAGCCGGCCUGAGAGGGUGACCGGCCACAUUGGGACUGAGAUACGGGCCAGACUCCUACGGGAGGCAGCAGUGGGGAAUAUUGCACAAUGGGCGGAAGCCUGAUGCAGCAACGCCGCGUGCGGGAUGACGGCCUUCGGGUUGUAAACCGCUUUCGCCUGUGACGAAGCGUGAGUGACGGUAAUGGGUAAAGAAGCACCGGCUAACUACGUG